RNAcentral lists this long non-coding RNA (373 nucleotides) under Erythranthe guttata (spotted monkey flower). Its description in RNAcentral is "long non-coding RNA (EGUT_LNC001301)". Lineage: Eukaryota; Viridiplantae; Streptophyta; Magnoliopsida; Lamiales; Phrymaceae. The record is from RNAcentral.
UUUAAUCUAUUGUGGGUCUGUGUUCAAAAAACAAUCUAUUGUAUGUGACUAGAACUCCAUUACUUCAACACUAUUCUCAAGAUGGGCAAAGAUAUUCGUGCAUCAUCCCUCCACUUAGUUGGACAAUACAAGAAAAGCUCUUCACACUUAUUCAAUGUUGCUUCAAAUAAACACAUAAAUCAUAAUCACAUCAUUCCCAUCCGAAAGGAAGGCAUAUAACUUUCAACAUCUGCGCUCGCUUUUAGAAGAAAAUAUAAAAUAAUUAGCUAACAGGUGGCAAGUGGUACAGAGUUCUGCUGUAUAGAUUAUAGAUACUUGCAAUGCAAAUUUUCGUAAGAAACUGCCAGUGCUAUCAGCACAAAAAAAACUAUUU